CAGUUCGGAUCGGAGUCUGCAACCCGAACUCCGUGAAGCUGGAUUCGCUAGUAAUCGCGCAUCAGCCAUGGCGCGGUGAAUACGUUCCCGGGCCUUGUACACACCGCCCGUCAAGCCAUGGGAGCCGGGGGUGCUUGAAGUGCGUCGCCGCAAGGCGCGCCCUAGAGCAAAACCGGUGACUGGGGCUAAGUCGUAACAAGGUAUC
RNAcentral lists this ribosomal RNA (205 nucleotides) under uncultured bacterium. Its description in RNAcentral is "partial 16S ribosomal RNA". It matches the Rfam family "Bacterial small subunit ribosomal RNA", at positions 1289 to 1500 of the family's 1533-position model. The record is from RNAcentral.